UACGGGGGGUGCAAGCGUUGUUCGGAAUUACUGGGCGUAAAGGGCUCGUAGGUGGCCAACUAAGUCAGACGUGAAAUCCCUCGGCUUAACCGGGGAACUGCGUCUGAUACUGGAUGGCUUGAGUUUGGGAGAGGGACGCGGAAUUCCAGGUGUAGCGGUGAAAUGCGUAGAUAUCUGGAGGAACACCGGUGGCGAAGGCGGCAUCCUGGACCGAUAUUGACGCUGAUGCGCGAAAGCCAGGGGAGCAAACGGG
RNAcentral lists this ribosomal RNA (253 nucleotides) under uncultured bacterium. Its description in RNAcentral is "partial 16S ribosomal RNA". It matches the Rfam family "Bacterial small subunit ribosomal RNA", at positions 524 to 776 of the family's 1533-position model. The record is from RNAcentral.